GGACAAAGAUUUUAGCCAAUAAGAAAAUUAUGUUUAACAUCAUUAAAUAUAUAACCUAUCUGCAUGAAGCCUAAAUAGGAAUACUAAUGUUCCUUCAACAGCUGAAAAAGGGUUAUUAUACUCUGCCAUAUUCAUACUUCAGGUAUGAGGUAGGCUAUAUAUCUAAAUAUAAGCAUAUAUUUUUGAGUUCCAGUAAAACAAUUAAGAUUUAUUUCAACUGUCUGAAUAUAUAAUAAUAGUUUAAGCACUCUGCUAAUAUUACAUCAUUGACUACCAGUUACACUAACAACAUUAAUUAAAGCUGGAAAUAACUUUCACUUCUAGAAAUUGCUACCUGGAUAUUGUUGAGGUAUUUGUUGAAAGGCCUCUGACAGUGACUGCUGUCUCUGUGCCAGGCAUCUGGCUCGGGUUUGGGGAGCUCCCUCCUCCUCCUCCUCCUCCUCCCUCCGUUUGCUUUGCAGCUGAACAUUUACUUUUGGGUGUGCUGCUUUUAAAUGCACAUACAAGUUUACCACAUAAACGUAUUGCUUUCCUGCACACGUCACAGGUAGCAUUUUAUCUGUCUGAAACUGUGAAAUAACUCCAAACAGCACUCCUCUUCCUCUCCGCCAACAUUAAGGGUCGCUUGUCGGUCUCUGCUCUGGAAGACAGCAAAGGAGGGUAGGGGGAGGGGCACAGUGAACUUGAGUGAGCGGGAGAGUGUGAGAGGUGGAGAGGAGCGCUGCAGAUGCUACGCUCACAAACUCUGAAGAAAAACGAGUGAUUUGCUGAACUUAUAGAAGAGAAACUACAAGAAAACUAUCGAUCUCAUCACGCUAGUAUUGAUCUGACACCAGUACUCACCUUGGUAUUGAUACUAUCGAUAUUUGGAUCGAUCUGCCCACCCCUAGUACGAGAGGGAAGUUUUGUCAGUCAGUUGGCACCUUGCAUGGCAGCUUCUUCCAUCAGCUGCGAUGAGCUGGCGACUUGUCCAGGGUGUAUCCUGCCCUCGCCCAGAGAGGCUCCAGCAAACCCCCUCGACCCCAUAAAAGGGAUAAAGCGGUUACAGACAAUGGAUG
Molecule: long non-coding RNA, 1058 nt
Filed under: Sparus aurata (gilthead seabream)
Lineage: Eukaryota; Metazoa; Chordata; Actinopteri; Spariformes; Sparidae
Description: lncRNA (ENSSAUG00010000307.1)
Source: RNAcentral